This 66-nucleotide transfer RNA is filed under the name Polyphaga plancyi. Its description in RNAcentral is "tRNA-Leu". Lineage: Eukaryota; Metazoa; Arthropoda; Insecta; Blattodea; Corydiidae. The record is from RNAcentral.
AUUACUUUGGCAGAUAAGUGCAAUGGGUUUAGAAUUCAUUAAUGUGGAUUGGUUCUAUAAGUAAUG